RNAcentral lists this ribosomal RNA (460 nucleotides) under uncultured bacterium. Its description in RNAcentral is "partial 16S ribosomal RNA". It matches the Rfam family "Bacterial small subunit ribosomal RNA", at positions 338 to 795 of the family's 1533-position model. The record is from RNAcentral.
CCUACGGGAGGCAGCAGUGAGGAAUAUUGGUCAAUGGACGAGAGUCUGAACCAGCCAAGUAGCGUGAAGGAUGACUGCCCUCUGGGUUGUAAACUUCUUUUAUAAAGGAAUAAAACGCGGCACGUGUGCCUUUUUCCAUGUACUUUAUGAAUAAGGAUCGGCUAACUCCGUGCCAGCAGCCGCGGUAAUACGGAGGAUCCGAGCGUUAUCCGGAUUUAUUGGGUUUAAAGGGAGCGUAGAUGGGUUGUUAAGUCAGUUGUGAAAGUUUGCGGCUCAACCGUAAAAUUGCAAUUGAUACUGGCAGUCUGGAGUACAGUUGAGGUAGGCGGAAUUCGUGGUGUAGCGGUGAAAUGCUUAGAUAUCACGAAGAACCCCGAUGGCGAAGGCAGCUUACUAAACUGUGACUGACAUUGAUGCUCGAAAGUGUGGGUAUCAAACAGGAUUAGAUACCCCUGUAGUC